AAAAUAUGUCCGCAAAAACAAAGUCUGGGUCGAAGAAAGAAAGGAGAAAGUGGGCAGGUAGAAGAGAGGGUGUCAGUAUGUCACAGUUUUGCUUAAAGAAGGGUGGGUUUAGUUAGUGAUUGGUUAAAUUCAACCUGUUAGCUAGCUCUGAUAUCCACAGUGAGAGAACUACAGCUAAUAUCCUGCAGAAGUCCGUGCUGCAUUUUCCCUGUUGUGCAUUAAGUUUAAAGACUGUUGUAACUUGGAUGAAGAUUUUGUCACAAAUGAUAGCCUAUAUACGCUCUGAAAGGAGCGCUGGCAAUAAAAUUCAUUCUGAGUCUGAUUCUGAUUCUGAUUCUGAUAUUGUAACACAUAUAUCAAUUUCGUUAUGUACAGAGCCUGGACCUUCCCGAUGUCAGGUUUGGUCAGGACAAAGUAUAUACGUAUUCAUGCAAAGUUGUCCAACUUUAAAAUUUUAUGUAACCCUAACUGACUCCGGUUUGAACUGUGUGCUUAUUCAUUUUGUGUCUAUGAUGAAGCCAUGGAGACUUAAUAAAGAAUUCACCUUGUGAGCAGUGAAUCUUUAAUUUUUGUCAGUCAUACAGAAAUACUUGAUUUAAAGAGGAAAGGCAGCUGAAAAUGUAGUUAUGUAAAGCUUUGACACAACAUGGAAAUUUAAUUAGAUAUCCAAAUUUGAAUUUUAUCAUCAAAUACAAUUUUAGAAUAAAUAAACACAUUUUAAGGGAGUUAAAGGGAAAAGGAGAUUAACACCUUUCAGCAUGUGCAUUUCCUGCUUUUUCCGGCAGUGAUAUUGCUAAUUCUGUUGAAGGAAAUUCACUGUUUAAUGAGAGACAGCUGGUGAAAAUGAUAUGUAAAUAAGUAAGAAUGCAUGUAGACCUACAUAAUUAAGCAAAACUGAAACACUAAUAUAAAGUAUAUAUAUUAUAUUUUUUCGCCCUUCGAAUCUGGGAGGGUGGAACCCCAGCUUCAGCUAUGGACGAGACCCUGGGGGCCCAACUUGAUUUUUUUUCAUGGGGCCCAAAAUCUCUGGGUGCCCCCCUGUCAUUGGCGGUUCUAGGGGCGGGGCCACAGGGGCACUGGCCCCUGCUGAAAUAUGAUUGGCCCCUGUAGUGCCCCUGUCCUGUCACUCAUCUGUCCUUUGUGCGGUGAUGAGAUUAUAGGUGGAUGCAAUUCCGAGUCCAAACACUAGUGGCCGUGUGGCGCUAAGGAGCAAAAUAGUGUGUGAAAUCCAACAGAAGAAGAUUUGAAAGAUUCCAAGAAGGAAGAACUUUUCAACCGACAUCGGAUCUGAUGAGAGUCCACGUUAUGAGGAGUUUGUUGCUGCAAACUGGGACAAGACUCUCUCCAAUUCAGACAACCAGAGUGAAGUUAAUGACUCAACCUUCCAUCCUGCUGGGCCACCAGAGUCACCAAUCAAUACUAAUCCUGCAGGAUCAAAUGUCAUCUUCCAGUGUGAUGCACAGAAUCCUGCGCAGACAUCAGAACGGUGUUCUGUUCCAGUAGGACCUGGUGGUGUGCUUCUCAUUUUGUAAAGGCUCUUUAAAUUUAAUUGAAUUUUGCAGUCAGUCACUUGCAGAUUCUGAAUGCCAUGAAUGUUAAAGGUUGAGAGAUAUAAGCAACUGACUCAGACUUAUUUAAUUGACUUCCCACCAGACAUUUCCCAGUCAAGAGCAGAGGGUCCUGUGAUAUUCUUCUGGUGUUUUUUCCACACACAAACAUAAUUUAACCUGAUAUUUGUGGCUUUGCAAAAUAAAUUGAAUGCUAAAAUUUCUCAAAUGCUGUGUGUGGUUGUAUUUUGUCAAUGUACAGUAAAAAUUGAUGUACAAUUGCAUUGAUGUUUUUCAACAUGGUGUUGGGGUAAACUGUAUCUACCAUACAAAACUGGGAAUAGUAUGCAAGUAUGUUGGACUGUUCGUGGCCCCUCUAUAAAUAUUGUGGCCCCUUGAUGGCCCCACCCUCAGAAAAAUCCUAGAUCCGCCACUGCCCCCUGUAUAGGUCAAUCUGUAGGUGAAAACUGACCAUUUGUGGAAAUUACAAGGAGGAAACUAAAUCAUAAAACCUGUAAGACAAAAACUAACCUAAACCUGUAGGACUAAAGACACUUAGAACUAAAGUAAGUAACCAAUGACCUGAAGAGUUACAGAACUAAAUAUAAGCCAUAAAAAACUAAUGAUGAAACUGGGAGUCUGGGUGAAGGAAAUUAUUGGGAGUUAAAGAGCCUGGAACCAAGGGCAGGGGGUAUUCUAAAAAGAAACAAGGAGUGAGACAAGAAGGGGAACACAGACGCACAAUGUGACAAAAGCAAGCUGACCAAGAGAGUCUCUGACUUUGGGAACCAGCUUGUCUGGGGCACAGAUGAGGAUCUCAGUCUUAUCUUCAUUCAGCUGUAGAAAGUUCCCAGCCAUCAGGCAAACAGGAGUGUAACAGCUGCAGCUUAGACAUCUCAUGGGUACUGAGGUCCAACUUGUGGUGAAAGUUGAGUGAUCCCAAAAUCUUAUCACAAAAGAUUAAUUGUUAAUACUUUACCAUCAACUGAGCCAACCCUACCUCAUUUUUUUAAUCUAAACUUGACCCAAAAUAGAAAAUCCUUUAACACACCUAAACUGACUUGUGCUACAACAUAUUUAGUUCUAGGUCAAUCAAAGACGUAUCUUGAUUGUGUUUUGGAGAGCAUCGCUAUAAGUGCAGUGGCAAAAAUAGGGCGUGUUGCACAUCUAUACACCAUGUUGGGUCUCUUAGCCGUAGGAGCUGGCUGUCACUCUGGCUUUUUCCCACCGUGACAUUUUAAGAGAAAUUUCACAAGUUUUGCGAGGCAGAAUUUUAGACUAAAUAAUUUAUAUUUCUUCUCUCUUCUGAGAGAGUUGUAAGCCCUAAACCUAGCAUUCAUCUCUGAAUGUAAAUGACUGAUUUGUUUUAAGAAAGUUAAACAAGCAAAGACAAAAUGUUUUUACAAAUCCAGUAUAAGAAAGGUAAAUACCAAUCUUCAUCUUGUUUUCGUUUAAGACAAACAUGUUUGACACAAGCCCUCAGUGUCAUUGUUUGCACCUUGAGGUCACAGGUCAUGUACCGGCAUCUAAUCAGAGUACACCAAAGGAAGUGAAACAGCUCAAGCUACUAUUAGUGUUUCAUCUUUGAGUUUAUUACACACACAGAAAUGUCAAUUUGCAUCUCAUGUCAUGCCUAGCCAGAGGGAGGGAACAUGCCUGUCUGUCUCCUUGCGUAUUUGUCCAAAGACAGGAAGUGGUUGACACACUCAGGAGGUGUGAAUUCCCUACUCGUGAUUAAUUUAGCCCUUCCUGCGGAGGCAGCCUGCCAUGAACAUUUACUGGGCUCAAUUUAACUCUGAUCAACACGUUCACUUUGACUGCCAGAUGGUGAUUUGAUUCUGACAAAUUACCCGUGUGUUGUGCCUGAUAAUGCCUCGAAACCCGAGUGUUUACUUUCCUUUGGCGGUUUAUUAUUGUAUAAGUGUGUGUGUUUGUGUGUUGGGGGGGUGACGUGCUGUUCCACUGAGCUCAUGUCAGAGUUGCUAAAUGGGUCCCUUUUUUGUUCUCCUGAAGGGAAAUGUUUACUUUGUUUCAGUGGUGAAACCUCAUCUGGCUUUGCAGAUCUUCACCUGAAGGUUUGACCAUUCUUGAAUCAGACUCAGCAGGAGGCAGUGAAGAGCGGUGGUGAAAUUGUAUCCCUCUGCCACUGUCGAGCGAGAUGCAGCCUCCGAGUCUUCAGCUUCAGGCUCUGGACCCUGCUUAUGUUGUUAGGCUCUUUGAAGAGCUCAGAGCAAUUUUGCUUCCCAGAGAAACAGCUCAGAAGAAACACUCAAACCUGCGUGGGCAUGACUGUGCUGAUGUGCUCAUACCAUAUGCAAACGCUGCAGACUGUAAAGUGGGUUAUUUAUCAGCAAAAGAUGAAACUGAAAAUUUCUGUGUGUAUGUUUACAAGCUGCAGCAAUUUCUGCAGCUUGUUGCAGUCCCACCUGUGGGGAUGUGUGUUAUAUUAACACAUUAAAAUCCAUUGGGGGGUUUUGGGUUUGCUGUUAUGUAGUUAGAGAAGUAGUUUGGUUGAAAAAUGGUUUAAAAUGUAUUUCAGAGCUUUUGAACCAUCAUAGCUUCUAGAAUAGCCUCAGUCUGGAGGAAUAGAAUGAACUGCUGGUGCCAUCAAAGUGUUCACCAAUACCUUUGAGCUAGCUUGUCUCAGCAGGACAUUUUUGAAACAUGUAGGACAAUAAACUCACCUUUGUAUCCAUUUACUAGUGGGUAUUGUGAUCUCGGACUUUUCCUUAUUUGACACCAUACUUUGAAAAUGAUAGGGAACAACUUCAUAGAUGCAAUACAGGUCCAAGUAUGCAUUCAAACCACUUUUAUAAGCAAUAAAAAUCAGGUUUCACUGCAAACCAAAGGAAGUUAUUGUAUAGUGUUGCUAAAAUCAGAAGCAGUAGCCCUACAGUCCCCUACAGAUGGUCUCAAAGUCCUAUUCAUCAGAGCUCGAGCAUUCUGCAUCGUCAGAAUCAUUACAAAAUGCGGAACAUUUUCUAACAUGGGGUUGGGACGGUCACUCUGAUCGGAAAAAUAUAGUAAACCAACAAAUGGACCAGAAAUGAUCAGAAGAUUAUUAGAAUAACCAUUCAAAACAGCUCUGAAAAUGUUCCCCGUUUUUUCUUAGCUUACCUGCCUUGGGCAGCUGAAUUAAAACCAAAUGUGUCAACAUAGUCCAAAAACCCAUGCACGAGUGUGUGUGUGUGUGUGUGUGUGUGUGUGUGUGUGUGUGUGUGUGUCUGCACGUGCAUGAGUCCUCAAGGCUGCAAAAGAUGCAGGACUUCUUAUCUAUCGUCUUCAAAUAAAGCUUGUCUUCCCUGGCUCAUAAAUGACUUUAUACUUUUAUAAGGGCUACAUAAUCAUAUUUUGUUGAAUGAACAAUAUGUUUAAAUCAAAUGGUUUUAAUAAUGUGUCCAAUGCUCUACAUUAAUAAAUGAUGGAUUUAUUUAUUUAUUUCAGAUCUUAAAUUACAUCAGAUUGGUAAUUGUGUAUUUUAAUGUUAGUGUAUCAGUAGAUUCACAUAUAACUCAAUGUGAAAUAGUAAUAUAUCUCAUACACCCCCACCUGACCUAACCUUAAGGACAUUCAAUAGUUAAUAAUAUUGGGAAUGGUAAAAAGGGCAUCCUGUGUUUAUUAAUGCUUAAUUAACCACUAAGUAAUGUUAAUAAAAGGACCCUUAUUGUUAAGUGUUGCUGAAAUUAUUUCAAUAGGCAUUCGGAAAGGGCUCCUUUUGUGCACCCUUCUAAGUAAAUCACAUAACAAGAAGAUAAAAGCAUAUGAUAAG
Nothobranchius furzeri (turquoise killifish) is the source of this 5316-nucleotide non-coding RNA. NCBI's taxonomy places the organism in Eukaryota, Metazoa, Chordata, Actinopteri, Cyprinodontiformes, Nothobranchiidae. The record is from RefSeq and is a predicted model, not a curated record.